AUCAUUUAAAGAGUGCGUAAUAGCUCACUAGUCGAGUGACACUGCGCCGAAAAUGUACCGGGGCUAAACAUAUUACCGAAGCUGUGGAUUGUCCUUUGGACAAUGGUAGGAGAGCGUUCUAAGGGCGUUGAAGCAUGAUCGUAAGGACAUGUGGAGCGCUUAGAAGUGAGAAUGCCGGUGUGAGUAGCGAAAGACGGGUGAGAAUCCCGUCCACCGAUUGACUAAGGUUUCCAGAGGAAGGCUCGUCCGCUCUGGGUUAGUCGGGUCCUAAGCUGAGGCCGACAGGCGUAGGCGAUGGAUAACAGGUUGAUAUUCCUGUACCACCUAUAAUCGUUUUAAUCGAUGGGGGGACGCAGUAGGAUAGGCGAAGCGUGCGAUUGGAUUGCACGUCUAAGCAGUAAGGCUGAGUAUUAGGCAAAUCCGGUACUCGUUAAGGCUGAGCUGUGAUGGGGAGAAGACAUUGUGUCUUCGAGUCGUUGAUUUCACACUGCCGAGAAAAGCCUCUAGAUAGAAAAUAGGUGCCCGUACCGCAAACCGACACAGGUAGUCAAGAUGAGAAUUCUAAGGUGAGCGAGCGAACUCUCGUUAAGGAACUCGGCAAAAUGACCCCGUAACUUCGGGAGAAGGGGUGCUCUUUAGGGUUAACGCCCAGAAGAGCCGCAGUGAAUAGGCCCAAGCGACUGUUUAUCAAAAACACAGGUCUCUGCUAAACCGUAAGGUGAUGUAUAGGGGCUGACGCCUGCCCGGUGCUGGAAGGUUAAGAGGAGUGGUUAGCUU
This 777-nucleotide ribosomal RNA is filed under the name Staphylococcus aureus. RNAcentral describes it as "partial 23S ribosomal RNA". It matches the Rfam family "Bacterial large subunit ribosomal RNA", at positions 1118 to 1896 of the family's 2925-position model. Lineage: Bacteria; Bacillati; Bacillota; Bacilli; Caryophanales; Staphylococcaceae. The record is from RNAcentral.